UACGUAGGGGGCCAGCGUUGCUCGGAAUUACUGGGCGUAAAGCGUGCGUAGACGGUUACAUAAGUCGGGUGUGAAAGCCCCGGGCUCAACCUGGGAAUUGCAUUCGAGACUGCGUAGCUAGGGUGCGGAAGAGGGAAGCGGAAUUUCCGGUGUAGCGGUGAAAUGCGUAGAUAUUGGGAGGAACACCAGUGGCGAAGGCGGCUAUCUGGACGAACACUGACGCUGAGGCACGAAAGCGUGGGGAGCAAACAGG
RNAcentral lists this ribosomal RNA (253 nucleotides) under uncultured bacterium. RNAcentral describes it as "partial 16S ribosomal RNA". It matches the Rfam family "Bacterial small subunit ribosomal RNA", at positions 524 to 776 of the family's 1533-position model. The record is from RNAcentral.